This 467-nucleotide ribosomal RNA is filed under the name uncultured bacterium. Its description in RNAcentral is "partial 16S ribosomal RNA". It matches the Rfam family "Bacterial small subunit ribosomal RNA", at positions 29 to 507 of the family's 1533-position model. The record is from RNAcentral.
ACGAACGCUGGCGGCUUGCUUAACCCCUGCAAGUCGAACGGACAGGCCCUGCUUUUGUGGGGUGCUCGAGUGGCGAAUGGGUGAGUAAUACGUGAGUAACCUGCCCUUGCCUUUGGGAUAACUUCAGGAAACUGGGGCUAAUACCGGUUCGGCGCUCCUGCUGCAUGGUGGGGGUUGGGAAGUUUCGGCGGUUGGGGAUGGACUCGGGGCUUAUCAGCUUGUUGGUGGGGUAGUGGCAUACCAAGGCUUUGCCUGGUAGCCGGCCUGGGAGGGUGACCAGCGACAUGGGGACUGAGGGACGGCCCAGUCGCGUACGUGAGGCAGCAGUGGGGAAUAUUGUACAAUGGGCGGAAGUGUGAGGCAGAAGCGCCGGGGUCGUGAAGACGGCUUUCUGGGAAUGAACCGCUGUCGCCUGAGACGAAGCGGUAGUGACGGUAACGAGUAAAGAAGCACCGGCUAACUUCGUG